AAAGAUUAAGCCAUGCAUGUCUAUGCACACGCCCUUGAUCGGUGAAGCCGCGAAAAGCUCAUUACAACAGCCAUAGUUUAUUGGAUCUUUACGUUCCUACAAGGAUAUCUGCGGUAGUUCUGGAGCUAAUACUUGCGAAAAACGGCGACCUUACGGAAGUCGUGCAUUUGUUAGACUAAACCAAUCGGUCCUUCGGGACCGUCAUUUGGUGAACUCUGAAUAACUCAGCUGAUCGCACAGUCUCGUACUGGCGACAAAUCCUUCAAGUGUCUGCCUUAUCAACUGUCGAUGGUAGUUUACACGACUACCAUGGUUGUAACGGGUAACGGAGAAUAAGGGUUCGACUCCGGAGAGGGAGCCUGAGAAACGGCUACCACAUCCAAGGAAGGCAGCAGGCGCGCAAAUUACCCACUCUCAGAACGAGGAGGUAGUGACGAAAAAUAACGAGGUGGCCCUCUUUGAGGUCCAUCAUCGGAAUGGGUACAAUUUAAAUCCUUUAACGAGGAUCUAUUGGAGGGCAAGUCUGGUGCCAGCAGCCGCGGUAAUUCCAGCUCCAAUAGCGUAUACUAAAGUUGUUGCGGUUAAAAAGCUCGUAGUUGGAUCUGCGCCAGGUGGAAGCGGUCGCCCGAUGGGUUGUUACUGCUUACCUCUGGCUAACCAUUCGGUUUUCCCUUGAUGCUCUUAAGUGAGUGUCCUGGGUGACCGGAACGUUUACUUUGAAAAAAUUAGAGUGCUCAAAGCAGGCAUUUCGCCCGAAUAUUCGUGCAUGGAAUAAUAAAAGAGGUCCUUGUAGCCUUUUAUUGGUUAUCGCUACGAGGAAAUGAUCGAAGGGGACAGACGGGGGCAUUUGUAUUGCGACGUUAGAGGUGAAAUUCUUGGAUCGUCGCAAGACAAACUACUGCGAAAGCAUUUGCCAAGAAUGUUUUCAUCAAUCAAGAACGAAAGUCUGAGGUUCGACAGCGAUCAGAUACCGCUUUAGUUCAGACCGUAAACGAUGCCAUCUGGCGAUCCGCCGGCGUUAUGUUUGACCCGGCGGGCAGCCACCGGUAAACCUUUAAGUUGGGUUCCGGGGGAAGUAUGGUUGCAAAGCUGAAACUUAAAGGAAUUGACGGAAGGGCACCACCAGGAGUGGAGCCUGCGGCUUAAUUUGACU
Molecule: ribosomal RNA, 1153 nt
Filed under: Paratrichodorus minor
Lineage: Eukaryota; Metazoa; Nematoda; Enoplea; Triplonchida; Trichodoridae
Description: SSU rRNA
Rfam family: Eukaryotic small subunit ribosomal RNA
Source: RNAcentral